UACAGAGGUCUCAAGCGUUGUUCGGAUUCAUUGGGCGUAAAGGGAGCGUAGGUGGCGGGGUUAGUCAGGUGUGAAAUCUCGGGGCUCAACCCCGAAACUGCACUUGAUACUGCCCUGCUAGAGUACUGGAGAGGAGAUUGGAAUUUACGGUGUAGCAGUGAAAUGCGUAGAUAUCGUAAGGAAGACCAGUGGCGAAGGCGAAUCUCUGGACAGUUACUGACACUGAGGAGCGAAAGCGUGGGGAGCGAACAGG
This 253-nucleotide ribosomal RNA is filed under the name uncultured bacterium. Its description in RNAcentral is "partial 16S ribosomal RNA". It matches the Rfam family "Bacterial small subunit ribosomal RNA", at positions 524 to 776 of the family's 1533-position model. The record is from RNAcentral.